This 348-nucleotide unclassified non-coding RNA is filed under the name soil metagenome. RNAcentral's name for it is "partial contains 5.8S ribosomal RNA, internal transcribed spacer 2, and large subunit ribosomal RNA". The stretch from base 1 to 120 matches the Rfam family "5.8S ribosomal RNA", at positions 35 to 154 of the family's 154-position model. The record is from RNAcentral.
GAUGAAGAACGUAGCGAAAUGCGAUACGUAAUGUGAAUUGCAGAAUUCAGUGAAUCAUCGAAUCUUUGAACGCACAUUGCGCCCGCCAGUAUUCUGGCGGGCAUGCCUGUCUGAGCGUCAUUUCAACCCUCAUGCCCCUAGGGCGUGGUGUUGGGGAUCGGCCAAAGCCCGCGAGGGACGGCCGGCCCCUAAAUCUAGUGGCGGACCCGUCGUGGCCUCCUCUGCGAAGUAGUGAUAUUCCGCAUCGGAGAGCGAUGAGCCCCUGCCGUUAAACCCCCAACUUUCCAAGGUUGACCUCAGAUCAGGUAGGAAUACCCGCUGAACUUAAGCAUAUCAAUAAGCAGAGGA